UGGGGCCACAUAAAGAUAACUUUUAAAAAAUUCCCUAGGAGCUUUGAUUUCAAAACAAAUGAUAAACAAGUAGCUUAGUUUUUGGGAGGCAGGAUAAAUCGGACUUGCAGAAAUUCUUUAACUUCAGAGAUACCUACAUUUCAGGAGAGGUAGUUGCUGGUCUUCCCCAGUAGAAAUACCUCAUGGUGGUUAAGAACGCAGACUCUGGGGCCAGACAAACAAGAACUGACCUCUGCUUACUUGUCUUAUGACCAUGGCACUUUAUGAAACUUCUCUGAGCUUCAGUACUUUACCUGUAUAACAGGGACAAAAGUUCUGUUUCAAGGAUUAUGUGAGAUGAUGCAGGGGUGGUAUAUUUGGCUCAGAGUAAGCACUAAAAUGUGGCUAUGGGCAUAGGAAGUGAAAGACUUAAUGUUUGCCUUUCCUUGUUUCCCAGGUACAGGUGAGGAGCACAGGGCAGGCACCAUUCUCUGAAGAGUGGGGAGAACAAAACUGAAGACUGUGCUCUAGUUUUCCUGAAGGUGCCUGAUUCACACACCAAAUUAUUUUGUAUGACCUUUGAAACAUACAACCGUCAGCCAACAUGCCAGGUGCCUGCAGAUCCAUGAGAGAGACCAACAAAAAUCACGUGAGCUGAAGCAAACAACUCAGCUGACAGGAUGGUGCUGUUUUAAGCCACUAGAUUCUAGGAUCUGUUUGUUACCCAGCAAAACCAAGUGGAUCUAGGUCCCCCCACACACCAACCCCUGUUACUUUCUUCUUCCUGCUUGGACAUAGACAAGAGACUGAAGAUAGAGCAAUAAACUUUUCAAAGAUCAUGAGAGGAC
Molecule: long non-coding RNA, 827 nt
Filed under: Fukomys damarensis (Damara mole-rat)
Lineage: Eukaryota; Metazoa; Chordata; Mammalia; Rodentia; Bathyergidae
Description: lncRNA (ENSFDAG00000023917.1)
Source: RNAcentral